RNAcentral lists this ribosomal RNA (564 nucleotides) under uncultured Glomeromycotina. RNAcentral's name for it is "SSU rRNA". It matches the Rfam family "Eukaryotic small subunit ribosomal RNA", at positions 548 to 1114 of the family's 1831-position model. The record is from RNAcentral. Lineage: Eukaryota; Fungi; Glomeromycota.
UUGGAGGGCAAGUCUGGUGCCAGCAGCCGCGGUAAUUCCAGCUCCAAUAGCGUAUAUUUAAGUUGUUGCAGUUAAAAAGCUCGUAGUUGAAUUUCGGGAUCAGUUGGUCGGUCGUGCCUCGGUACGUACUGGUCAAAUUGAUUCCUACCUUCUGACGAACCACGAUGUCAUUAAUUUGGUGUCGCGGGAAAUCAGGACUGUUACUUUGAAAAAAUUAGAGUGUUUAAAGCAGGCUCGCGCUUGAAUACAUUAGCAUGGAAUAAUGAAAUAGGACGUUUGAUUCUAUUUUGUUGGUUUCUAGGAUCGACGUAAUGAUUAAUAGGGAUAGUUGGGGGCAUUAGUAUUCAAUUGUCAGAGGUGAAAUUCUUGGGUUUAUUGAAGACUAACUACUGCGAAAGCAUUUGCCAAGGAUGUUUUCAUUAAUCAAGAACGAAAGUUAGGGGAUCGAAGACGAUCAGAUACCGUCGUAGUCUUAACCAUAAACUAUGCCGACUAGGGAUCGGAUGAUGUUAAUUUUUUAAUGACUCAUUCGGCGCCUUACGGGAAACCAAAGUGUUUGGGUUC